AAGCAAAUUUGACACUUUAGCAAACCUAACACCAUAUACAUCAAGGGUAAAUUUCAGUAAUCAUCACUGAACUUGUUGCUAAAUCUCAUUAAAGUCACUUAAUUUCAAUUUGUUAUUUAAAAAUCACUGAACUUUAAUUUUCGUAAUCAACAUCUGAUCAAAUUCAAGCAGGCAAUAUGACAUGACAAUCAUAUUAAACUUCUAAAUGUAUUUUUAUUUUUAGUGAACCAUCCAAGACAUUUUUCUCUCUCCUCUGUCCUCCCACUCUCUCUUUCUCACUCCUUUUCUGUGCAUUAAAG
RNAcentral lists this unclassified non-coding RNA (299 nucleotides) under Hevea brasiliensis (rubber tree). Lineage: Eukaryota; Viridiplantae; Streptophyta; Magnoliopsida; Malpighiales; Euphorbiaceae. The record is from RNAcentral.